This 524-nucleotide long non-coding RNA is filed under the name Populus trichocarpa (black cottonwood). Its description in RNAcentral is "long non-coding RNA (PTRI_LNC002045)". Lineage: Eukaryota; Viridiplantae; Streptophyta; Magnoliopsida; Malpighiales; Salicaceae. The record is from RNAcentral.
AUCUGCUUCUUUGUUCUCCUUACUUUUCUUGGCUCAGUUCUGAUUGAAUUUGAGCUUGUUGUUGAUGGUGUGAUGGAAAAAGAUGAUGAUGCUUGUGAAGUUAUCAUGAGGGUGAUGAUCUAACUCUACUUGCUACGUCCUUAAUUUUCUCCACUUGUUAUCUUUGAUUUUUCUUUCUUAAAGAACUUGUUUGCUGUGUGUUUGCAUCAAUCAAGAUGAUGAAUCAAGAAAAUCUUAGGACACUUCUGACACAGUACGAGAGGUUGCUGUGUGUGAGAAGGAUUCCCGAUUCUGAUAUGAUUGAUCGAUGAAUGAUUGUUAAUCAAUAUAUAAUAUAAUAGAUAGAUGUAUAGAAUAUAGAUUCAAGAUUUUGUGUUUAAAAGAAUCUGUUUUUAUUAUUAUUAUUAUUAUUAUUAUUAUUAUUAUUAUUUUGGUUUGAUUUCAUCUGGUGAAACUUAAGUUACAUACUUCCCAACAGAGCCCCAAUACUGCAGCUAAUGAAGAUGGAGUGCCUUGGAAUCAUG